This 435-nucleotide ribosomal RNA is filed under the name Acanthamoeba sp. Ac37. RNAcentral describes it as "SSU rRNA". The stretch from base 1 to 379 matches the Rfam family "Eukaryotic small subunit ribosomal RNA", at positions 756 to 1115 of the family's 1831-position model. Lineage: Eukaryota; Discosea; Longamoebia; Acanthamoebidae. The record is from RNAcentral.
CGUGAAAAAAUUAGAGUGUUCAAAGCAGGCAGAUCCAAUUUUCUGCCACCGAAUACAUUAGCAUGGGAUAAUGGAAUAGGACCCUGUCCUCCUAUUUUCAGUUGGUUUUGGCAGCGCGAGGACUAGGGUAAUGAUUAAUAGGGAUAGUUGGGGGCAUUAAUAUUUAAUUGUCAGAGGUGAAAUUCUUGGAUUUAUGAAAGAUUAACUUCUGCGAAAGCAUCUGCCAAGGAUGUUUUCAUUAAUCAAGAACGAAAGUUAGGGGAUCGAAGACGAUCAGAUACCGUCGUAGUCUUAACCAUAAACGAUGCCGACCAGCGAUUAGGAGACGUUGAAUACAAAACACCACCAUCGGUGCGGUCGUCCUUGGCGUCUCGGUCCUUCACGGGGCCGGGGCGCGGGGGUGGCUUAGCCCGGUGGCACCGGUGAAUGACUCCC